Molecule: ribosomal RNA, 301 nt
Filed under: uncultured eukaryote
Lineage: Eukaryota
Description: partial 18S ribosomal RNA
Rfam family: Eukaryotic small subunit ribosomal RNA
Source: RNAcentral
CCCUUAGAUGUUCUGGGCUGCACGCGCGCUACACUGAUGCAUCCAACAAGUUUUUUCCUUGUUCGAGUGGACUAGGUAAUCUUUUGAGAAUGCAUCGUGAUGGGGAUAGAUUAUUGCAAUUAUUAAUCUUCAACGAGGAAUUCCUAGUAAGCGCGAGUCAUCAGCUCGUGCUGAUUACGUCCCUGCCCUUUGUACACACCGCCCGUCGUUUCUUCCGACUGAUACUCAUUGUGAGUUGCAAGGAUUCUUAUUGAAAAAUUGCUGCGAAUGCUUUGUAUCGGAGGAAGAAAAAGUCGUAACA